CAGCAGCCGCGGUAAUACCGGCGGCCCGAGUGGCGGUCACUAUUAUUGGGCUUAAAGCGUCCGUAGCCGGGUUGGGAAGUCCUCCGGGAAAUCUGGCCGCUUAACGGUCAGAAUGCCGGAGGAUACUCCCAGCCUAGGGAGCGGGAGAGGCCGAGGGGAUUCCCGGAGUAGGGGGGAAAUCCUAUAAUCCCGGGAGGACCACCUGUGGCGAAGGCGCUCGGCUGGAACGCGUCCGACGGUGAGGGACGAAGGCCAGGGGAGCAAACCGGAUUAGAUACCCGGGUAGUCCUGGCUGUAAACGAUGCGGACUUUGUGUCGGACAAGCUAUGAGCUUGUCCGGUGCCGGAGGGAAGCCGUUAAGCCCGCCGCCUGGGGAGUACGGCCGCAAGGUUGAAACUUAAAGGAAUUGGCGGG
Molecule: ribosomal RNA, 414 nt
Filed under: uncultured microorganism
Description: bacterial SSU rRNA
Rfam family: Archaeal small subunit ribosomal RNA
Source: RNAcentral